AUACGCUAUGUACAUGCAUGUCGAGCGAACAGACGAGUGAGACUGUGUCAUGCCUGCUAUACGUUAGCGGCGGACGGGUGAGUAACACGUGGAUAACCUACCUAUAAGACUGGGAUAACUUCGGGAAACCGGAGCUAAUACCGGAUAAUAUAUUGAACCGCAUGGUUCAAUAGUGAAAGACGGUUUUGCUGUCACUUAUAGAUGGAUCCGCGCCGCAUUAGCUAGUUGGUAAGGUAACGGCUUACCAAGGCAACGAUGCGUAGCCGACCUGAGAGGGUGAUCGGCCACACUGGAACUGAGACACGGUCCAGACUCCUACGGGAGGCAGCAGUAGGGAAUCUUCCGCAAUGGGCGAAAGCCUGACGGAGCAACGCCGCGUGAGUGAUGAAGGUCUUCGGAUCGUAAAACUCUGUUAUUAGGGAAGAACAAAUGUGUAAGUAACUAUGCACGUCUUGACGGUACCUAAUCAGAAAGCCACGGCUAACUACGUGCCAGCAGCCGCGGUAAUACGUAGGUGGCAAGCGUUAUCCGGAAUUAUUGGGCGUAAAGCGCGCGUAGGCGGUUUUUUAAGUCUGAUGUGAAAGCCCACGGCUCAACCGUGGAGGGUCAUUGGAAACUGGAAAACUUGAGUGCAGAAGAGGAAGUGGAAUUCCAUGUGUAGCGGUGAAAUGCGCAGAGAUAUGGAGGAACACCAGUGGCGAAGGCGACUUUCUGGUCUGUAACUGACGCUGAUGUGCGAAAGCGUGGGGAUCAAACAGGAUUAGAUACCCUGGUAGUCCACGCCGUAAACGAUGAGUGCUAAGUGUUAGGGGGGUUUCCGCCCUCUUAGUGCUGCAGCUAACGCAUUUAAGCACUCCGGCCUGGGGAGUACGACCGCAAGGUUGAAACUCAAAGGAAUUUGACGGGGACCCGCACAAGCGGUUGGAGCAUGUGUUUUAUUCGAAAGCAACGCGAAGAACUUACUAAUCUGACAUCUCUGAACUCUCUAGAGAUAGAGUUUCCGUCCGGGGACAGAGUGACAGGUGAUGCAUGGAUGUCGUUCAGCCUCGAUCUGGAAUGUUGGAUUAGGUUAGCACCGGAGGCGGCA
This 1087-nucleotide ribosomal RNA is filed under the name Staphylococcus sp. Its description in RNAcentral is "bacterial SSU rRNA". It matches the Rfam family "Bacterial small subunit ribosomal RNA", at positions 42 to 1100 of the family's 1533-position model. The record is from RNAcentral. Lineage: Bacteria; Bacillati; Bacillota; Bacilli; Caryophanales; Staphylococcaceae.